RNAcentral lists this ribosomal RNA (294 nucleotides) under marine sediment bacterium ISA-3112. RNAcentral's name for it is "partial 16S ribosomal RNA". It matches the Rfam family "Bacterial small subunit ribosomal RNA", at positions 208 to 504 of the family's 1533-position model. The record is from RNAcentral.
UNGCUUUUAGCUACCACUUACAGAUGGACCCGCGGCGCAUUAGCUAGUUGGUGAGGUAACGGCUCACCAAGGCAACGAUGCGUAGCCGACCUGAGAGGGUGAUCGGCCACACUGGGACUGAGACACGGCCCAGACUCCUACGGGAGGCAGCAGUAGGGAAUCUUCCGCAUGGACGAAAGUCUGACGGAGCAACGCCGCGUGAGUGAUGAAGGUUUUCGGAUCGUAAAGCUCUGUUGUUAGGGAAGAACAAGUGCCGUUCGAAUAGGGCGGCACCUGACGUACCAACCAAAANCC